RNAcentral lists this long non-coding RNA (302 nucleotides) under Numida meleagris (helmeted guineafowl). RNAcentral describes it as "lncRNA (ENSNMEG00000010795.1)". Lineage: Eukaryota; Metazoa; Chordata; Aves; Galliformes; Numididae. The record is from RNAcentral.
AUUUUCAUUCCAUAAAACAGAAUGAAAAUUAUAUGUUGCUCUUGUUCAGCACUUUAAGCUGUUCUUGCGUUUUUCCUCAGAUGAAAAUGUCCUUUAUGCAGACCUCAUCACAAAAAAUAGGAUGUUUUCUGCUGAAAGAUUUUGGGUGCCAAACUACAACCCAACACCUUCCCAAGCUACAGCUCCUGUGAGUCAGACUUGUCCAGUAACCAAAGGCAGAACACAGGCAGUAUAAUACAGCACAAAGCAAAUGCUGGUAGAGGUCACAGCAAGGAUAACGCAGGACAAACAAUUGGCUCAGG